This 2934-nucleotide ribosomal RNA is filed under the name Bacillus amyloliquefaciens. RNAcentral's name for it is "bacterial LSU rRNA". It matches the Rfam family "Bacterial large subunit ribosomal RNA". Lineage: Bacteria; Bacillati; Bacillota; Bacilli; Caryophanales; Bacillaceae. The record is from RNAcentral.
CGGUUAAGUUAGAAAGGGCGCACGGUGGAUGCCUUGGCACUAGGAGCCGAUGAAGGACGGGACGAACACCGAUAUGCUUCGGGGAGCUGUAAGCAAGCUUUGAUCCGGAGAUUUCCGAAUGGGGAAACCCACCACUCGUAAUGGAGUGGUAUCCAUAUCUGAAUACAUAGGAUAUGAGAAGGCAGACCCGGGGAACUGAAACAUCUAAGUACCCGGAGGAAGAGAAAGCAAAUGCGAUUCCCUGAGUAGCGGCGAGCGAAACGGGACCAGCCCAAACCAAGAGGCUUGCCUCUUGGGGUUGUAGGACACUCUGUACGGAGUUACAAAGGAACGAGGUAGAUGAAGAGGUCUGGAAAGGCCCGCCAUAGGAGGUAACAGCCCUGUAGUCAAAACUUCGUUCUCUCCUGAGUGGAUCCUGAGUACGGCGGAACACGUGAAAUUCCGUCGGAAUCCGGGAGGACCAUCUCCCAAGGCUAAAUACUCCCUAGUGACCGAUAGUGAACCAGUACCGUGAGGGAAAGGUGAAAAGCACCCCGGAAGGGGAGUGAAAGAGAUCCUGAAACCGUGUGCCUACAAGUAGUCAGAGCCCGUUAACGGGUGAUGGCGUGCCUUUUGUAGAAUGAACCGGCGAGUUACGAUCCCGUGCAAGGUUAAGCAGAAGAUGCGGAGCCGCAGCGAAAGCGAGUCUGAAUAGGGCGAAUUGAGUACGUGGUCGUAGACCCGAAACCAGGUGAUCUACCCAUGUCCAGGGUGAAGUUCAGGUAACACUGAAUGGAGGCCCGAACCCACGCACGUUGAAAAGUGCGGGGAUGAGGUGUGGGUAGGGGUGAAAUGCCAAUCGAACCUGGAGAUAGCUGGUUCUCUCCGAAAUAGCUUUAGGGCUAGCCUCAAGGUAAGAGUCUCGGAGGUAGAGCACUGAUUGGACUAGGGGCCCCUACCGGGUUACCGAAUUCAGUCAAACUCCGAAUGCCGAUGACUUAUCCUUGGGAGUCAGACUGCGAGUGAUAAGAUCCGUAGUCGAAAGGGAAACAGCCCAGACCGCCAGCUAAGGUCCCAAAGUAUACGUUAAGUGGAAAAGGAUGUGGAGUUGCUUAGACAACCAGGAUGUUGGCUUAGAAGCAGCCACCAUUUAAAGAGUGCGUAAUAGCUCACUGGUCGAGUGACUCUGCGCCGAAAAUGUACCGGGGCUAAACGUAUCACCGAAGCUGCGGACUGUUCUUCGAACAGUGGUAGGAGAGCGUUCUAAGGGCUGUGAAGCAAGACCGGAAGGACUUGUGGAGCGCUUAGAAGUGAGAAUGCCGGUAUGAGUAGCGAAAGAGGGGUGAGAAUCCCCUCCACCGAAUGCCUAAGGUUUCCUGAGGAAGGCUCGUCCGCUCAGGGUUAGUCGGGACCUAAGCCGAGGCCGAAAGGCGUAGGCGAUGGAUAACAGGUUGAUAUUCCUGUACCACCUCCUCACCAUUUGAGCAAUGGGGGGACGCAGGAGGAUAGGGUAAGCGCGGUAUUGGAUAUCCGCGUCCAAGCAGUUAGGCUGGGAAAUAGGCAAAUCCGUUUCCCGUGAAGGCUGAGCUGUGAUGGCGAGCGAAUUAUAGUAGCGAAGUUCCUGAUUCCACACUGCCAAGAAAAGCCUCUAGCGAGGUGAGAGGUGCCCGUACCGCAAACCGACACAGGUAGGCGAGGAGAGAAUCCUAAGGUGAUCGAGAGAACUCUCGUUAAGGAACUCGGCAAAAUGACCCCGUAACUUCGGGAGAAGGGGUGCUCUGUUAGGGUGCAAGCCCGAGAGAGCCGCAGUGAAUAGGCCCAGGCGACUGUUUAGCAAAAACACAGGUCUCUGCGAAGCCGUAAGGCGAAGUAUAGGGGCUGACGCCUGCCCGGUGCUGGAAGGUUAAGAGGAGCGCUUAGCGUAAGCGAAGGUGCGAAUUGAAGCCCCAGUAAACGGCGGCCGUAACUAUAACGGUCCUAAGGUAGCGAAAUUCCUUGUCGGGUAAGUUCCGACCCGCACGAAAGGCGCAACGAUCUGGGCACUGUCUCAACGAGAGACUCGGUGAAAUUAUAGUACCUGUGAAGAUGCAGGUUACCCGCGACAGGACGGAAAGACCCCGUGGAGCUUUACUGCAGCCUGAUAUUGAAUGUUGGUACAGCUUGUACAGGAUAGGUAGGAGCCUUGGAAACCGGAGCGCUAGCUUCGGUGGAGGCAUCGGUGGGAUACUACCCUGGCUGUAUUGACCUUCUAACCCGCCGCCCUUAUCGGGCGGGGAGACAGUGUCAGGUGGGCAGUUUGACUGGGGCGGUCGCCUCCUAAAAGGUAACGGAGGCGCCCAAAGGUUCCCUCAGAAUGGUUGGAAAUCAUUCGCAGAGUGUAAAGGCACAAGGGAGCUUGACUGCGAGACCUACAAGUCGAGCAGGGACGAAAGUCGGGCUUAGUGAUCCGGUGGUUCCGCAUGGAAGGGCCAUCGCUCAACGGAUAAAAGCUACCCCGGGGAUAACAGGCUUAUCUCCCCCAAGAGUCCACAUCGACGGGGAGGUUUGGCACCUCGAUGUCGGCUCAUCGCAUCCUGGGGCUGUAGUCGGUCCCAAGGGUUGGGCUGUUCGCCCAUUAAAGCGGUACGCGAGCUGGGUUCAGAACGUCGUGAGACAGUUCGGUCCCUAUCCGUCGCGGGCGCAGGAAAUUUGAGAGGAGCUGUCCUUAGUACGAGAGGACCGGGAUGGACGCACCGCUGGUGUACCAGUUGUUCUGCCAAGGGCAUCGCUGGGUAGCUAUGUGCGGACGGGAUAAGUGCUGAAAGCAUCUAAGCAUGAAGCCCCCCUCAAGAUGAGAUUUCCCAUUCCGCAAGGAAGUAAGAUCCCUGAAAGAUGAUCAGGUUGAUAGGUCUGAGGUGGAAGUGUGGCGACACAUGGAGCUGACAGAUACUAAUCGAUCGAGGACUUAACCAAUUU